AUUGAGACUCGAGUAACUUCCAAAGAAAUCAAUGGAUCUAAGUGGCAACAUAUCGAUGUAUCGAACAAAUGCAAUCUAAAAAUAAAGAGAAAGUGUCAUUGUAAAUGUGCUAAGGCCGGGUGAAGCACAAAAAAUACCUUGGUGAUAAAUGAUAACACCAAUCGUAAGAGACCCUGCCAGUAAAACAGCAAGCAGUUAAACGUUUACACAUUACACAUAACUAGCUAACCAUUACAACGGAACUAGGAAUCAAAUGCAUUAUUUAAGUUGCAUAAGCAACUGUGCAUAAGUACCAUCAGGAUAAGCUUGCCUUGCCAGCUGGAGUGCAUCAGAAUUAGCUAAAUCUGCCCGAGCGCGUGGAGGUACGGUGCCACUAAGGAAUCCGCGGCGACUUGCAACUGCAGCCGCCGCCACGGGCGAGCUCGGAUGGCGCGCGGCGCGGUCACCUCAGACCCGGCCGUCGCCGUCCCGGAGGACGAGGACGCCUUGCCGUGACUGUCGGCCUCGCACAGGCUUGGCCGCGGGCACGCACGGCCGCCUCCCCGUCGCGGGGGCGCGCGAGCUGCUGUUGCGCGAGUGGGCCGCAUCGCGGGUAGGCGCGCUCCCCGC
RNAcentral lists this long non-coding RNA (609 nucleotides) under Panicum hallii. RNAcentral's name for it is "long non-coding RNA (PHAL_LNC000421)". The record is from RNAcentral. Lineage: Eukaryota; Viridiplantae; Streptophyta; Magnoliopsida; Poales; Poaceae.